This 1642-nucleotide long non-coding RNA is filed under the name Oryza brachyantha (malo sina). RNAcentral's name for it is "long non-coding RNA (OBRA_LNC001274)". Lineage: Eukaryota; Viridiplantae; Streptophyta; Magnoliopsida; Poales; Poaceae. The record is from RNAcentral.
ACUACGGAUGCUCGACUGCUGGGUGUAGUGGGCUUUACACAACACGUGCCGCGUUCGGCUUGGGAAUAAAUAGUAAUAGAUUAGUAAAUGAUUAAUUAAUUAUUAAUUAUUAAAAAAUAUAAAAUAGAUUAAUAUGAUUUUCUAAAACAAUUUUUUUAGAAAUUUUUUUAAAAAAUAUACCGUUUAGCAGUUUGGAAAACGUGUCCAUGAAAAAUGAGAAAAUAAGUUAACUAGCGAACGUGGCCACAGUAGAACUCUAGGACCCAAACAAUCCGAGAAGCAUUUUUUUAAACACACGGGUGUAUAUACACCCAUGGUUUACAUGUCAUCUAAAUAGUCAUAAAAAAUAUGAAAAAAUUUAACAAGAUAGUUUAAUAUGAGUUAUAUCACUCCACCCACAUGAAGUUUAAAUUCAUCUUUUACAAGUUGUAGUAAAAAUAACAAAAACAAUUAUGAAUAUGCGUAUAGUUAGUUUUAGUUUUAUUUGUUUUUUCUACAACUUGUAGAAGUUGAAUUUAAACUUGCAUGUUUAUAGAGUGAUAUAACUCAUAUUAAUCUAUCUUGUCAAUUUUUUUUCAUAUUUUUUAAUAACUAUUUAUAUGGCAUGCAAGCACACGGGUAUACCCGUGUACUAACAACUAUUUUCCGAUAUGCUCCGAUAUACCUUUAGGGCGCUUUUGGCAGGCUGUAAUAGGCCACCGUACGCGGACUGGCCAUGCUCAACGCCACUAUUCGCUACUUAAAACGUUGACCCAGAUUUCAAGCCCCUAAAUUUCUUAAUUACCUAAUGAAGCUACAACUAUUAGAUAAAAAAUGGAGUAGAAGCUAAAGAAUUACUCGUACCUAAAAUCGAUCAAUGAAACCAGAACUGAAGAAAGUUCUCUUUCCAUAUCACACUAAAACAAUCGCGCUAAGGUUUUAAUCAGAAGCAAGCUGCCUUGAACUCCACUACUCAUCUUACUAUUUUUACACAUAUAGAAACUGGAGUUAUUUCAUAGCUUAAGUAUGUUUCGCUUGUGAAAAAUGAGCAGAAGCAUAAUUGAAAUACACAUAUUUUAUUAAGAGGUUAAUGAUGAGUUUAGAUGGUUACCUAGUUAGAGGAACUUGAGAUAUUCAAAUAUCAGAAUUAUUUGGUUGCCACGAUGAGGAUGGAGCAUCAGCUGUCUAACGUUCUGAAACCAAAUCAGCCCAAUUAAUACAUCAAACUUUAAAGCACUAUACUUCACCAAUAAAAUGAAAUAUUGGUUCAGGUUUCAGGCACCUUGUAUGGUAUGAACGACUUCAUUGAGGCAGGUUGCUCAGGAGGCUGGAGCCUUACAUCAUCCUUAGUUGAACUGAACAUUUGCCAAGAUAACUGUGAUACAUUAUCCUAUAGAAGCAAAUAUCAAGCUUGAAGAAUGUGUAACCUGUAAACUGAGGGAGCUUUUGUCACAACCAAUAUCAGGUAGUACUCAACAAGCAACACCAAUUUAUUAGGACUAUUAAAAAAGGCAACAUGGACAUUUAGCUGACUCAUUCCAUAGCAAGAAAUGCUGCUGCCUUGAUCAAUCAUGCACAUAGAAAAGGAGCAAGCAAUCACAUUACUGCAACAGAGGAAGACACCAGAGCACUGACCCAGAAUUCCCCCCUUCUGAAGCAAUUG